Molecule: ribosomal RNA, 492 nt
Filed under: uncultured bacterium
Lineage: Bacteria
Description: partial 16S ribosomal RNA
Rfam family: Bacterial small subunit ribosomal RNA
Source: RNAcentral
AGUGAACGCUGGCGGUAGGCCUAACACAUGCGAGUCGAACGGCAGCACAGUAAGAGCUUGCUCUUACGGGUGGCGAGUGGCGGACUGGUGAGGAAUACAUCGGAAUCUACUUUUUCGUGGGGGAUAACGUAGGGAAACUUACGCUAAUACCGCAUACGACCUACGGGUGAAAGCAGGGGAUCUUCGGACCUUGCGCGAUUGAAUGAGCCGAUGUCGGAUUAGCUAGUUGGCGGGGUAAAGGCCCACCAAGGCGACGAUCCGUAGCUGGUCUGAGAGGAUGAUCAGCCACACUGGAACUGAGACACGGUCCAGACUCCUACGGGAGGCAGCAGUGGGGAAUAUUGGACAAUGGGCGCAAGCCUGAUCCAGCCAUACCGCGUGGGUGAAGAAGGCCUUCGGGUUGUAAAGCCCUUUUGUUGGGAAAGAAAAGCAGCAGGUUAAUACCCCGCUGUUCUGACGGUACCCAAAGAAUAAGCACCGGCUAACCUCGUG